Molecule: ribosomal RNA, 468 nt
Filed under: uncultured bacterium
Lineage: Bacteria
Description: partial 16S ribosomal RNA
Rfam family: Bacterial small subunit ribosomal RNA
Source: RNAcentral
GACGAACGCUGGCGGCGUGCUUAACACAUGCAAGUCGAACGGAAAGGCCCUGCUUUUGUGGGGUGCUCGAGUGGCGAACGGGUGAGUAACACGUGAGUAACCUGCCCUUGACUUUGGGAUAACUUCAGGAAACUGGGGCUAAUACCGUAUAGGAGCUCCUGCUGCAUGGUGGGGGUUGGAAAGUUUCGGCGGUUGGGGAUGGACUCGCGGCUUAUCAGCUUGUUGGUGGGGUAGUGGCUUACCAAGGCUUUGACGGGUAGCCGGCCUGAGAGGGUGACCGGCCACAUUGGGACUGAGGUACGGCCCAGACUCCUACGGGAGGCAGCAGUGGGGAAUAUUGCACAAUGGGCGGAAGCCUGAUGCAGCAACGCCGCGUGCGGGAUGACGGCCUUCGGGUUGUAAACCGCUUUCGCCUGUGACGAAGCGUGAGUGACGGUAAUGGGUAAAGAAGCACCGGCUAACUACGUG